Molecule: transfer RNA, 74 nt
Filed under: Trichonephila inaurata madagascariensis
Lineage: Eukaryota; Metazoa; Arthropoda; Arachnida; Araneae; Nephilidae
Rfam family: tRNA
About the family: Transfer RNA (tRNA) molecules are approximately 80 nucleotides in length. Their secondary structure includes four short double-helical elements and three loops (D, anti-codon, and T loops).
Source: Rfam by way of RNAcentral
GGGGGUAUAACUCACAGUGGUAGAGCAUUCGACUGCGCAUCGAGAGGUCCCCGGUUCAAACCCGGAUGCUCCCU